GACGAACGCUGGCGGCGUGCUUAACACAUGCAAGUCGAACGGCAAGGCCCUGCUUUUGUGGGGUGCUCGAGUGGCGAACGGGUGCGUAACACGUGAGUAACCUGCUCUUGACUUUGGGAUAACUUCAGGAAACUGGGGCUAAUAUCGGAUAGGAGAUCCUGCAGCAUGGAGGGGGUUGGAAAGUUUCGGCGGUUGGGGAUGGAUUCGCGGCUUAUCAGCUUGUUGGUGGGGUAGUGGAUUACCCAGGCUUUGACGGGUAGCCGGCAUGAGAGGGUGACCGGCCACAUUGGUACUAAGGUACGGACCAGACUCCAACGGGAGGCAGCAGUGGGGAAUAUGGCACAAUGGGCGGGAGCCUGUGGCGGCAACGCUGCGUGCGGGAUGACGGCCUUCGGGUUGUAAACCGCAUUCGCCUAUGACGAAGCGUGAGUGACGGUAAUGAGUAAAUAAGCACCGGCUAACUACGUG
This 468-nucleotide ribosomal RNA is filed under the name uncultured bacterium. RNAcentral describes it as "partial 16S ribosomal RNA". It matches the Rfam family "Bacterial small subunit ribosomal RNA", at positions 28 to 507 of the family's 1533-position model. The record is from RNAcentral.